This 495-nucleotide ribosomal RNA is filed under the name uncultured bacterium. RNAcentral describes it as "partial 16S ribosomal RNA". It matches the Rfam family "Bacterial small subunit ribosomal RNA", at positions 28 to 507 of the family's 1533-position model. The record is from RNAcentral.
GAUGAACGCUGGCGGCGUGCCUAAUACAUGCAAGUCGAGCGAACAGAUGGAGCUUGCUCCUCUGACGUUAGCGGCGGACGGGUGAGUAACACGUGGAUAACCUACCUAUAAGACUGGGAUAACUUCGGGAAACCGGAGCUAAUACCGGAUAAUAUAUUGAACCGCAUGGUUCAAUAGUGAAAGACGGUUUUGCUGUCACUUAUAGAUGGAUCCGCGCCGCAUUAGCUAGUUGGUAAGGUAACGGCUUACCAAGGCAACGAUGCGUAGCCGACCUGAGAGGGUGAUCGGCCAAACUGGAACUGAGACACGGUCCAGACUCCUACGGGAGGCAGCAGUAGGGAAUCUUCCGCAAUGGGCGAAAGCCUGACGGAGCAACGCCGCGUGAGUGAUGAAGGUCUUCGGAUCGUAAAACUCUGUUAUUAGGGAAGAACAAAUGUGUAAGUAACUAUGCACGUCUUGACGGUACCUAAUCAGAAAGCCACGGCUAACUACGUG